CUCGUAGGCUGUUCGGUCAGUCAGAUGUGAAAGCCCUCGGCUUAACCGGGGAACUGCAUUUGAUACUGCCAGACUUGAGUGUCGGAGAGGGUGGCGGAAUUCCGGGUGUAGGAGUGAAAUCCGUAGAUAUCCGGAGGAACACCAGUGGCGAAGGCGGCCACCUGGACGACAACUGGCGCUGAGGAGCGAAAGCGUGGGGAGCAAACAG
RNAcentral lists this ribosomal RNA (208 nucleotides) under uncultured delta proteobacterium. Its description in RNAcentral is "partial 16S ribosomal RNA". It matches the Rfam family "Bacterial small subunit ribosomal RNA", at positions 568 to 775 of the family's 1533-position model. Lineage: Bacteria; Deltaproteobacteria. The record is from RNAcentral.